GGGCGAAAGCCUGAUCCAGCCAUGCCGCGUGUGUGAAGAAGGUCUUCGGAUUGUAAAGCACUUUUAGUUGGGAGGAAGGGCAUUAACCUAAUACCUUAGUGUUUUGACGUUACCGACAGAAUAAGCACCGGCUAACUCU
This 139-nucleotide ribosomal RNA is filed under the name uncultured bacterium. RNAcentral's name for it is "partial 16S ribosomal RNA". It matches the Rfam family "Bacterial small subunit ribosomal RNA", at positions 373 to 504 of the family's 1533-position model. The record is from RNAcentral.